This is a long non-coding RNA of Aquila chrysaetos chrysaetos, 628 nucleotides long. RefSeq lists it as uncharacterized. The transcript has 2 exons. The record is from RefSeq and is a predicted model, not a curated record. Lineage: Eukaryota; Metazoa; Chordata; Aves; Accipitriformes; Accipitridae.
CGCGGCUGGGAGCGGCGGGAAGCAACCGGGAUUCGCCUUCCCGCCUGCCCGCGUCGGUGCGAGGAGAGCGGUGGGAAGGAAGCCCAUCAGCCCUGCGGCCUCCACAGUGCCUACUACACAUAAGCAUGAUGGACACCUAAGAGGUUUCCCUGGAUACAUCUGAACGGCAAAAUGCACUCUGAAGGUAGUAGACAGUCAAAAAAAAACAUAAGCGUGUUUGAAAUAGUGGUUCUACCAGUUCUUCAUAUAAAAAGCAAGUAUCAGUAUGCACAAUGACACUUAAAAGAAUUGCGUGUCCACCCAUGGGGCAGAGGAAUAUACAAGAGGGUUUUGGCCUUUUACCUGGUGGAAUCUUUUCAGAUGGAGAAUAAGAAUAGCAGGAACUGAAGAAAUCAGCAGCUGUUUCCGAGCAUUUGUGUAAACACCUUCCGUUUUCUUUUCUGUAUUUAUGAAUAUCAAAAUAAUUUGUAAAGUGAAGGCAGCCACACAGAAUUUAAGUAUUUUUUAAACAUCUGACAGAAUAGAUCUAUGUUGCAAUGAUUUUGUACAUGUUAUAUAAAAUGCAAGAGAAAUUUUGUGGAGUAACAGAAAAAUAUUUUCUCAUUUUUAAUAAACAUAAUCUGCCAAA